Glycine soja is the source of this 1303-nucleotide long non-coding RNA. RefSeq lists it as uncharacterized. The record is from RefSeq and is a predicted model, not a curated record. Lineage: Eukaryota; Viridiplantae; Streptophyta; Magnoliopsida; Fabales; Fabaceae. The transcript has 6 exons.
GGUUGAUCCAGAUAUCAGCCUUUCUCUUAAACAGAACCCUGCUUCUUAUACGCAAGUUUUGAAUGCUUCCUCUAGAGGGUUGCACAGAAUGAGAACUGUAUUCAGUUAUCUUCCCAUAUCCAUGGCAACUGAACCAGCUGCAGAUGACUCAAUACUUUCACUGCUAAGGGUUUUUUGGCCCAUCUUGGAGAAAUUUUUUGGCUCUGAGCAUAUGGAGAAUGGGAAUUUAUCCGUAGCAGCUUGCUGAGCUCUUUCACUAGCUGUUCGAUCUUCAGGUUUACCCACUUGGACACAUUUGUUGACAGUUCAUCGGUUCCCCUUGUGAUAAAUAUAGUUUUUUAAUGUGCAGGUCAGCAUUUUGUGACAUUACUGCCCAAGGUGCUGGACUGGCUUUCAAAAAAUUUUGUUUUAUUCCAAAGUCAUGAAUGCUAUAUAAGAAUCGCUUCCAUUGUCAUUGAAGAAUUUGGUCAUCUAGAGGAGUACGGACCUUUAUUUGUCACUUCUGACGACAUUCCAGACAUUGAUAAGAAAAAAAUGGUAUGUUGAUUGGAGCAACUACAUCAAUCGGAUUAAUCAUGUAAGCCUCUCUUAAACUUUUUCAUUUUCUUGUAAACGGGUCUAAUUAAUACUUGUCUUUGCUAUGUUUCUCUCAAUAUGAUUCUUAUUUUGUACAGCUUUUUUUUAUUGGUUUCAAUGUAUAAUUUUUGGUCUUCUCUUUUUCUCAAAAAUUAGAAAAAUAGUACUGUUUUCAAAUUGUAAAGAAUGGAUAGGGUGAAUGAAACAGAGAGUGAAAGUUACAACAACAUAUAGAAGCAAAGGUGCAGACCAUUUUUUGCUUUCGUGUCAUGAUUGGUGUAGAGGCUUUGAUGGAAUUAUUAAAGUCUGGGAUGUAUCUAGCAAAAAUUGGACUGGAUAACCUAGAAGAAGCUUUACUACUUCAGGCUGAUAUGAUGGAUCUUAAAGCACGAAUUCAUGGGCCUGCUCAAGCAUAUGUGAUGGAAGCGAGACUUGACGAAGGACGGGGUCCAUUAGUAACUACUAUAGUGAAGGCAGGGACUCUUUUCAAUUUGUUGUUUUAAAAUUUUGGUUUAAAAUAGUGGAAGUGGUCCAAGGUGAUGCUAGGAACGUGUUGUGCAUUUGUAUUGGUUUUGGGAAGCCAAGGCUACAGAGUUAUCAAAAGUAUUUUAAUGAAGUUAAACCAUUGGAAGCAGAGAGAUUCAAGGCGUUUCGCAUCCAGUGGACACAGUAUUAUCUAAAAGUUAGAAAUCAAACAUAGGAUGUUAGACAACUAUGUAACUUUAGG